RNAcentral lists this ribosomal RNA (446 nucleotides) under uncultured bacterium. RNAcentral describes it as "bacterial SSU rRNA". It matches the Rfam family "Bacterial small subunit ribosomal RNA", at positions 501 to 950 of the family's 1533-position model. The record is from RNAcentral.
CUACGUGCCAGCAGCCGCGGUAAUACGGAAGGUCCAGGCGUUAUCCGGAUUUAUUGGGUUUAAAGGGAGCGUAGGCUGGAGAUUAAGUGUGUUGUGAAAUGUAGACGCUCAACGUCUGAMUUGCAGCGCAUACUGGUUUCCUUGAGUACGCACAACGUUGGCGGAAUUCGUCGUGUAGCGGUGAAAUGCUUAGAUAUGACGAAGAACUCCGAUUGCGAAGGCAGCUGACGGGAGCGCAACUGACGCUUAAGCUCGAAGGUGCGGGUAUCAAACAGGAUUAGAUACCCUGGUAGUCCGCACAGUAAACGAUGGAUGCCCGCUGUUGGUACCUGGUAUCAGCGGCUAAGCGAAAGCAUUAAGCAUCCCACCUGGGGAGUACGCCGGCAACGGUGAAACUCAAAGGAAUUGACGGGGGCCCGCACAAGCGGAGGAACAUGUGGUUUAAU